GGAUGGGAUGUGGCGCCACUACCACUCCAGCCCGGGAAAUCAGAGCCUGAAACAAAGAGAGCUACCUCCACACGAGGACCCACCUCACACUCACCUGCCGCCCAGCUCGCAUCACCGCGACCCAGAUAACGGCAAACUCAGGUGAUUACAACGGAGCUACUACCCAGGCCUGACACCAGCCCUCAGAAGCAAGUUUCAUAAUAGGCGGCGGCCAUUCAAGAUCACUCAGCGAGGACCCCACAGAACAACAUGGACUAUGCCUGGAUACCUGCUCUGACGGACGCUCGUUCCCUGCUACACAGCACUAGCAGAGCAGGUAUCGAUUAAACGGAGACCUCCACCCUCCCCCAGCAGUGUGGACUCGGGACCACCCUGACGCCAGCCUUCAUCACGAAGAAAACCCGGGUAACCCCCCUGAUACAUCAGGGUGCCUGAACUUUUAUGGUGAC
Non-coding RNA from Pelobates cultripes (western spadefoot toad), 449 nucleotides. Lineage: Eukaryota; Metazoa; Chordata; Amphibia; Anura; Pelobatidae. The record is from the annotation of a GenBank genome assembly.